AACACAGUACUUUUCCUUCACUAUCGAUUUUUUUCACUCUCCACUCUCGAUUCACAUCCCAGUUUUAUCCCUACACUUCCUGUGUUGCCACUACUCCACUACAGCUACCAUUUGCAUAUUAUCUCAACUAGGAGUGGAGGCACCAAGGGGCCAGGGCGGUCAGUGGCCCACUGGAAAACCUAACCCUUCAGAGCCACGCAACCAAACCAGCGAAUCACAGAUUUUUCUCCUCUCCACGACUUCGCCCAGCGCCUCAGCUCUCACUCUUGUCUCUCGCCACCUUCCACCACCGACCACCAGCGCUUCUCAGUUCUCACUUUUGU
Molecule: long non-coding RNA, 323 nt
Filed under: Olea europaea (common olive)
Lineage: Eukaryota; Viridiplantae; Streptophyta; Magnoliopsida; Lamiales; Oleaceae
Description: long non-coding RNA (OEUR_LNC002122)
Source: RNAcentral